UACGAACGCUGGCGGCAUGCCUAAUACAUGCAAGUCGAGCGAACAGAUGAAGUGCUUGCACUUCUGACGUUAGCGGCGAACGGGUGAGUAACACGUAAGGAAUCUACCUAUAAGCGGGGGAUAACAUUCGGAAACGGGUGCUAAUACCGCAUAAUAUCUUCUUCCGCAUGGAAGAAGAUUGAAGGACGGCUCUGCUGUCACUUAUAGAUGACCUUGCGGCGCAUUAGUUAGUGGGUGGGGUAACGGCCUACCAAGACGAUGAUGCAUAGCCGACCUGAGAGGGUGAUCGGCCACAUUGGGACUGAGACACGGCCCAAACUCCUACGGGAGGCAGCAGUAGGGAAUCUUCCGCAAUGGGCGAAAGCCUGACGGAGCAAUGCCGCGUGAGUGAAGAAGGCCUUCGGGUCGUAAAACUCUGUUAUAAGAGAAGAACAAAUUGUAGAGUAACUGCUACAGUCUUGACGGUAUCUUAUCAGAAAGCCACGGCUAACUACGUGCCAGCCGCCGCGGUAA
RNAcentral lists this ribosomal RNA (513 nucleotides) under uncultured bacterium. RNAcentral describes it as "partial 16S ribosomal RNA". It matches the Rfam family "Bacterial small subunit ribosomal RNA", at positions 29 to 523 of the family's 1533-position model. The record is from RNAcentral.